CCGGCUAACUUCGUGCCAGCAGCCGCGGUAAUACGAAGGGACCUAGCGUAGUUCGGAAUUACUGGGCUUAAAGAGUUCGUAGGUGGUUGAAAAAGUUGGUGGUGAAAUCCCAGAGCUUAACUCUGGAACUGCCAUCAAAACUUUUCAGCUAGAGUAUGAUAGAGGAAAGCAGAAUUUCUAGUGUAGAGGUGAAAUUCGUAGAUAUUAGAAAGAAUACCAAUUGCGAAGGCAGCUUUCUGGAUCAUUACUGACACUGAGGAACGAAAGCAUGGGUAGCGAAGAGGAUUAGAUACCCUCGUAGUCCAUGCCGUAAACGAUGUGUGUUAGACGUUGGAAAUUUAUUUUCAGUGUCGCAGGGAAACCGAUAAACACACCGCCUGGGGAGUACGACCGCAAGGUUAAAACUCAAAUGAAUUGACGGGGACCCGCACAAGUAGUGGAGCAUGUGGUUUAAUUCGAAGAUACGCGCAGAACCUUACCAACACUUGACAUGUUCGUCGCGACUCUAAGAGAUUAGAGUUUUCGGUUCGGCCGGACGAAACACAGGUGCUGCAUGGCUGUCGUCAGCUCGUGUCGUGAGAUGUUGGGUUAAGUCCCGCAACGAGCGCAACCCUCACUUUUAGUUGCCAUCAUUAAGUUGGGCACUCUGAAAGAACUGCCAGUGAUAAGCUGGAGGAAGGUGGGGAUGACGUCAAGUCCUCAUGGCCCUUACGUGUUGGGCUACACACGUGCUACAAUGGUAUCUACAACAGGAAGCAAGACUGCGAAGUUAAGCAAAUCCCUAAAAGAUACCUCAGUUCGGAUUGCACUCUGCAACUCGAGUGCAUGAAGCUGGAAUUACUAGUAAUCGUGGAUCAGCGUGCCACGGUGAAUGCGUUCCCGGGUCUUGUACACACCGCCCGUCACACCAUGGGAGUUGGUUCUACCUUAAGGCAAGGUUUUAAACCCUUGACCACGGUAUAGUCAGCGACUGGGGUGAAGUCGUAACAAGGUAACC
This 997-nucleotide ribosomal RNA is filed under the name uncultured bacterium. RNAcentral describes it as "bacterial SSU rRNA". It matches the Rfam family "Bacterial small subunit ribosomal RNA", at positions 493 to 1501 of the family's 1533-position model. The record is from RNAcentral.